RNAcentral lists this long non-coding RNA (869 nucleotides) under Betta splendens (Siamese fighting fish). Its description in RNAcentral is "lncRNA (ENSBSLG00000009206.1)". The record is from RNAcentral. Lineage: Eukaryota; Metazoa; Chordata; Actinopteri; Anabantiformes; Osphronemidae.
CUGUGAGAAGAAGCAGAACCACCAGACGAAAACUGUUUGAUGGAAGAAAAGAAAAGGAAAAAGCAAGAAGAAAAGAAAAAGAAAGAAGCCGCUCAACAAAAGGCCACAGAACAGAUAACCAAAGUGCCAGAUUCUGCCAACCUCCACCCUACCCAUCCUCUUCCCCCCAUCAACCCCAGCGCCGUCCCACCUGUGUCCUCAUCAAGUGGUGAUGGCAAGCGCGCCCCCUCCGGAGGCCAGCCACAGACAGCACCGCAGCACCUCCAGACUCUGCUCCAGCAGCGCUACCCACCCAGGGAGGUCCCCCCUCGCUUCCGCCAGCAGGAGCACAAGCAGCUGUUAAAGAGGGGCCAGCCUCUGCCCUCUGGGACCCUGCCCGUCUCCACUACAGGAUUCCCCGCCACUACUGAACCUGCAGCAGCAUCCACAUCUUCAUCUGCCUCCUGUUCCUCUUCCUCCACACCCUGCCUGCCUACAGGUCAGCCCUAGAGUGUCAGUUGAAACACCAAUACCUCUUGUUUCCUUAUAGUCCUAGUCAGCGAUGUAGGCAAAGAAGGCAUUGGUAUUUACUAUGAAAUAUAUUUUGUAUGGCGCUGUGGUUGGCAUUGUGUGGUAUACCUGUAGAGCAAUGGGAAGGUGCAUCACAGGUGCCGCUGACUGCUGUUUAUUUUCAUUUUGUCUGGCUGGGAAUUAGAAUUGGGAAUAGAUGAGAACGGGGGUAGAAGAGUUAGAGUAAACACAGCUGGCUAUCUCAGCGUGUGUGUAGUUUCUUUUGCUUGGGUCUUUGUAUUUUGAACUAAACCAGGCUCAUUCAUUUCCAAUUAAUAAUUUGUAAUAAAGCAUCAUUUAUUAAUCUUUGAUGAUGUUUA